AUUGAACGCUGGCGGCAGGCCUAACACAUGCAAGUCGAACGGUAACAGAAAGCAGCUUGCUGCUUUGCUGACGAGUGGCGGACGGGUGAGUAAUGUCUGGGAAACUGCCUGAUGGAGGGGGAUAACUACUGGAAACGGUAGCUAAUACCGCAUAACGUCGCAAGACCAAAGAGGGGGACCUUCGGGCCUCUUGCCAUCGGAUGUGCCCAGAUGGGAUUAGCUAGUAGGUGGGGUAAAGGCUCACCUAGGCGACGAUCCCUAGCUGGUUUGAGAGGAUGACCAGCCACACUGGAACUGAGACACGGUCCAGACUCCUACGGGAGGCAGCAGUGGGGAAUAUUGCACAAUGGGCGCAAGCCUGAUGCAGCCAUGCCGCGUGUAUGAAGAAGGCCUUCGGGUUGUAAAGUACUUUCAGCGGGGAGGAAGGGAGUAAAGUUAAUACCUUUGCUCAUUGACGUUACCCGCAGAAGAAGCACCGGCUAACUCCGUG
This 490-nucleotide ribosomal RNA is filed under the name uncultured bacterium. RNAcentral describes it as "partial 16S ribosomal RNA". It matches the Rfam family "Bacterial small subunit ribosomal RNA", at positions 30 to 507 of the family's 1533-position model. The record is from RNAcentral.